Molecule: ribosomal RNA, 570 nt
Filed under: Triticum aestivum (bread wheat)
Lineage: Eukaryota; Viridiplantae; Streptophyta; Magnoliopsida; Poales; Poaceae
Description: partial small subunit ribosomal RNA
Source: RNAcentral
AUGGUUCGAGAGGAGGUAGCAGGAUCCACUCAAACACUACAGUGGAAGUGUGUUGAAUCAAGAGUAGAUAGUAAGUGCCUUUAUUAUGGUCGUUUCAUUCUGUCCCCGCUUAGAAAAGGUCAAGCGGACACCGUCGGUAUUGCCUUGCGAAGAGCUUUACUUGGAGAAAUAGAAGGAACAUGUAUCACACGUGCAAAAUUUGGGAGCGUGCCGCACGAGUAUUCUACGAUAGCAGGUAUUGAAGAAUCCGUACAAGAAAUUUUACUAAAUUUGAAAGAAAUUGUAUUGAGAAGUAAUCUCUAUGGAGUUAGAGACGCAUCCAUUUGCGUCAAAGGUCCUAGAUACAUAACUACUCAAGAUAUCAUCUUACCGCCUUCCAUAGAAAUCGUUGAUACGGCACAACCUAUAGCUAACUUGACAGAGCCCAUUGAUUUCUGUAUUGAUUUCCAGAUCAAGAGAGAUCGUGGAUAUCAGACAGAACUCAGAAAGAACUAUCAAGAUGGAAGUUAUCCUAUAGAUGCUGUAUCCAUGCCUGUUCAAAAUGUGAAUUAUAGUAUUUUUUUCUUGUAG